Molecule: long non-coding RNA, 1198 nt
Filed under: Androctonus crassicauda
Lineage: Eukaryota; Metazoa; Arthropoda; Arachnida; Scorpiones; Buthidae
Source: RNAcentral
AGUGCAAGCACAAAUGAUGUAACAUGAUUGCCAUAUAUAAUUGCUCCUUUGCAGUAUUUGAUAUUUAAAUAUAAAUAAAAAUAUUAAUAUGUACUCAAAUUCCUAUUACUGAUUGACAAUUUUAUUAGAAAAUUGUGAAGAUUUAGUAAAUUUUAGUGGCAUAGUUAUCAAGCAAUGAUUACUUGUAAAAAACAAAGAAUGAAGUAAGCAACAAUGGUAAAGAAUGAUACUUGGUCAGUUAUUAAAGGAAAUGAGGGAAUGUAAACAAAAAAUCAGCUGAUUUGGUAAUCUAGCAUAUGUGAGGGACAGGAAUCCAGGUUGGAUGUGGUGUGUCUUUCCUCACUUUCAGAUUUUGGUUUUUUUUAUAUAAGGGGAAAAACGAAUUUGGAGGGAAGAGAGAGACGCACCAAAAAGGUGACACAUGAUAAUAUAUCGGAUAGCACAGCCAUGGACUCUUGUCCCCAAUAUAAUUAAAUCAUAUUUAACUAUAAACACGGGUGUCGGGUUAGGAUAAAUGUUCCAAAUAAUGAUCUUGUUUUUCUUCAAUGGAGGCAUAAGAUUAAGUCACCGGGGACGAUAUAAAAGUUGGCGUAAGAACUUUAAUGGUGAGUCAGUCGGUCGAAAGUAUACGGUGAAGUUCGUGCAUCCUACUCUUCUGCUCAUCACCGCUGUAUCUGCAUCGUUCGUCUCUGUUAUCUUCCUCUAUGUCAGUUAUACUCAUCGCAGAAGAAAAAGGGAAAUCAACGCCGACCAUCAAACUUUAUUGACUCGAAUCUGAUUGAUCUCUUCUCAGCGCCGACACAGUCCUAUGCCAGUGACUUUGGAUUCACACCGAACUUUCUCUUUGGAUUAUUCUGAUCUGAAUGGUAUUCUCCCAAGAAAUUGUCGGAGUUUUUUGUAAAAUUGGAAGAUAGAUUGUAAAGAACCUCUCUGAGAACACUAAAGGAAGCUAUUGAUUCAUUAAACCAUAGUCUUCUGUGCAUGUCUAGCCUCAUUACCUGUUCAUACCCGCAGCAUGCCAUUGUCCGCUGUUAGGCCUAACCCCUGUACUUUUAGUCCAUUGGCCCAUGAGCCCCACAACUAUGUCUAAUUAUCACAGAUAUUAACUUUAAUAUCUCAUAUAAGGAAUUUCACUUUUAUCAAUAUAUGUAUUUGUGUCAAUCUAACUCUCUCUACCAUAUAGCAUAUAACUGUCCUA